AUGAUGUGGACAGUCUUCAGCCUGGUUCUUGUCAGCUCCCUUUUUGUCCUCAAAAGUGAAGCACUGCAGUGUUACACCUGUGUAGGUUCUAGUGAUGAUGACUGCAACAGACAAGGAAGUCAGCAGUGUCCAGGACAUGCAGAUGCCUGUGCAGUCAUUAGAGGACAAGCAAGUGGCAUCAUGAAGUCCUGCUCGUUCAGGUCCUUCUGCGAGCGCGCCCGGAGGGACGGCUCGAGGGCGCCCGGAGUGAGCGUGCACUGCUGCUACUCCAACAACUGCAACGCCAAGAGCCUGGCUCCCAGGGUCUCCAGCUCCAGCAGCUGCUUCCUCCUCCUCUUCACACUGCUCUGCCACCCCUUGUUGAAGCUGACAUGAAGGGCAAAAAGAAAAAAAAAAGUAUCCUGAAGCAACAACUCUGCCUUCUUAGCAAGGGAUGAUAAUAUCUCCUAAUCGUGCUCCGUGUACCAUAUAUCUCACUAGGCAAAAAAGCUGUAGGAAGACCUGACAGAUAUUUAGAUAAAAAUUGUUUCAUCUGCUAAAUAGGUCUUGGUUUCUGUGUAAGAAAUGCUGCCCUGUUGUUUAUUCUGGGGGGUUGAUUGUGUGAACACGUAACAUUUUCCUGCAAUUUAGAUAAGGAGAAAUCUUUGCUGCAGGUAGCCUGGUAGUAAGGUAAAGGGCAAAUGUCUGCCAAAUGUUGUUUACUGUGGGCAGACAUUCAAGCACAAAGUGACUGAAAAUUCUAGCAAGUAAGUUAAUCUUUCAGAGAGAAUUAGCAUACUAUACCAAGCCAGGAAACUUGAAAUACAGAUGAUUUAGUAUUGAUACAAACUGGUAGGAGAAGGCCAUUAAGAGAGUAAUGCAUGGAGGUGUAUUGUAUGGAAUAGGAUAUGUUCCUGGCAGGGGGUCUGGAACUGGAUGGUCUUUAAGGUCCCUUCCAACCCGAACCAUUCCAUGGUUCUAUGCUUGUGUGUAUUUCCUUGGGAAAAAAACACCUUCCAGUCUUCUCUUUUCUGAUCCUUUGAGAAUCUUACCACAGCAACAGAAGAAGAUGAAAGAAGAGUUCGGGAGUUGUUUUUGAACUGGUACUCCAUCCGAAGAUUGGCUCAGUCUAUCUCCCCUGCUGGUUUCAGAAGAAGAUGAAAGAAGAGUUUGGGAGUUGUUUUUGAACUGGUACUCCAUCCAAAGAUUGGCUCAGUCUAUCUCCCCUGCUGGUUUUAAAAACAAGUGAUUCAUCCCUCUCUUGUAGGCAAAUUAUAACUUGAGCUUAUAAUUCUUCUUAAUGUUUUAGUUAUGUAGACAAUUCUCCACUGUCCAUAACUGCAGUCUUUGGGAGUAUGAGUGUAUAUAUCUCUACAUAUCUCCCCCUUCAGUGAUGUGAUUGACUUGAGGUGGUUUAUGUAUCCUUUUCAUUCUGCAAAGUGAAUGCAAUUACUUGGAGGUCUUUAGAGGCAUAAGGGACUAAAUCAGUAUUUUUAAUAAACCCAUUCAUGGCAGUUUUACCAAGUAAAUGAUCCAGAAGGGGUCACAUAGUAGAAGUCAUUGUGCAUCACCACCUCCUUUGAUCCAAAACUCAGAGCACCAGGCAAGGAGAUGAGUGAUAUUUAUAGAUUUUCAUGUCCAGCUGUGAUGAUCUGGCCAACCCCUGGCACACAACAUGCACAGAAUUGGUCUGAAGUCCAGCUGGUGUAACUGAAGUAGAGGUGUCUUUCCAGUUCUAGUUUUAGUUGCCUAGUAGGAAAAAGGUUAGGUCAUCAAAUCUAUGGAACUCACAAAAUAUGUGGCAAAGUAGUUUUUUCCCUAGCUUUGUGUUGUGACUUUUUUUGGUAUAAUUCUUUGAAAAAUCAGUUCCAGGCAAGGCAGUUUGGUCUAUUUUUAGUAUCUAGGCCCAGUCUGAUAAAGCUGUUGAAUAGAAAGAUUGCAACAGUGCAGCAGAUCUUGGCUGAGAAUGCUCAUUUGGACUCCAGCAUCUCAUCUGCAUAAAAAUCACUUAAAUUGGUGUAAGUAUUUUUCAUUUAAUUCUCAGCUUGAAGCAGUUCCUAAAAUCUCUUCUGCUACAGGAAGCAGGUAUUGAUUGUAUCUUUAUCAUUGUGUGGUUCUGUAAUGAUAAAUCUGUAUUGAAUGUAAUCUCUGUAUAUGCUCACUGCAUUUCCUUAAUGAGAAAAUAAAUUACAUGCAAUGGCUGGCAUUGUCUCUU
Molecule: long non-coding RNA, 2194 nt
Filed under: Ficedula albicollis (Collared flycatcher)
Lineage: Eukaryota; Metazoa; Chordata; Aves; Passeriformes; Muscicapidae
Description: lncRNA (ENSFALG00000024744.1)
Source: RNAcentral